UGAGUCAUUGUAGCAAUACAAGGCAUACGGCUCAGUAACACGUAGUCAGUCUACCCUAUGGACGGGGAUAACCUCGGGAAACUGAGGAUAAACCCCGAUAGAUCAUUAUGCCUGGAACGGUUUAUGGUCCAAAUGAUUCGUCGCCAUAGGAUGGGACUGCGGCCUAUCAGCUUGUUGGUGAGGUAAUGGCCCACCAAGGCUAUUACAGGUACGGGCUCUGAGAGGAGAAGCCCGGAGAUGGGUACUGAGACACGGACCCAGGCCCUAUGGGGCGCAGCAGGCGAGAAACCUUUGCAAUGUGCGCAAGCACGACAAGGUUAAUCCGAGUGUUUCCUGCUAAAGGAAUCUUUUGUUAGUCGUAAAACCACUAGUGAAUAAGGGGUGGGCAAGUUCUGGUGUCAGCCGCCGCGGUAAAACCAGCACCUCAAGUGGUCAGGAGGAUUAUUGGGCCUAAAGCAUCCGUAGCCUGUUCUAUAAGUUUCCGGUUAAAUCCAUUAGCUCAACUAAUGGGCUGCCGGAAAAACUGUAGAACUAGGGAGUGGGAGAGGUAGACGGUACUCGGUAGGAAGGGGUAAAAUCCUUUGAUCUAUUGAUGACCACCUGUGGCGAAGGCGGUCUACCAGAACACGUUCGACGGUGAGGGAUGGAAGCUGGGGGAGCAAACCGGAUUAGAUACCCGGGUAGUCCCAGCUGUAAACGAUGCAGACUCGGUGAUGCCCUGGCUUGUGGCCAGUGCAGUGCCGCAGGGAAGCCGUUAAGUUUGCCGCCUGGGAAGUACGUACGCAAGUAUGAAACUUAAAGGAAUUGGCGGGGGAGCACCACAAGGGGUG
This 830-nucleotide ribosomal RNA is filed under the name uncultured archaeon. RNAcentral describes it as "bacterial SSU rRNA". It matches the Rfam family "Archaeal small subunit ribosomal RNA", at positions 54 to 890 of the family's 1478-position model. The record is from RNAcentral.